RNAcentral lists this unclassified non-coding RNA (465 nucleotides) under Trichuris trichiura (human whipworm). RNAcentral describes it as "sequence contains ITS2". Lineage: Eukaryota; Metazoa; Nematoda; Enoplea; Trichinellida; Trichuridae. The record is from RNAcentral.
GUUAAGGAUAAUAGGGAAUGCGCCGCUCAGGCUACAGGUUGAGGUUGGUGGCAAGCACCGGACAAACCUGCAUCCGCGCGCGAGCGAGCGUGACGCCGCAGCUCCGUUGCCAGCGAGCCGCGAUGGCAACUGGUAGGCGGAGCAGCGGAGAGCGGCCAAGUCAGCGUAGGGCGAAGACUACCCGACUUGGCUACCGGCCGCGCCGUCGGCGUACAGCAGUUGAGCAGGGAGCGGUGACCGCACGCGCUCGUAGCAGCAAGUGUUCGUCGUCGUUGCACGGCAGCAGCAGUCGACGACGACGAUAACGAUCACCAUGAUGAGGAGGCGGGCACCGCUCGAGCGACGACGGCGGCGAACGUUGCUGACACACUGAUACCGGUCAGGCAAGCUGACGGUAGCGGCGUCUUUGCCGUUCGUCAACUAGCGGUUCGCCGCGUGGCUCCACCCGUACGUCUCCUCGAUGUU